UUCCUACGGGACGCAGCAGUAGGGAAUCUUCCACAAUGGGCGAAAGCCUGAUGGAGCAACGCCGCGUGGGUGAAGAAGGUCUUCGGAUCGUAAAACCCUGUUGUUAGAGAAGAAAGUGCGUGAGAGUAACUGUUCACGUUUCGACGGUACCUAACCAGAAAGCCACGGCUAACUACGUGCCAGCAGCCGCGGUAAUACGUAGGUGGCAAGCGUUAUCCGGAAUUAUUGGGUGUAAAGGGGGCGUAGACGGGAUGUCAAGUUAGUUGUGAAAUACCUCGGCUCAACUGAGGAACUGCAACUAAAAC
Molecule: ribosomal RNA, 305 nt
Filed under: uncultured bacterium
Lineage: Bacteria
Description: bacterial SSU rRNA
Rfam family: Bacterial small subunit ribosomal RNA
Source: RNAcentral